UUGGUGCCUGGGGCUUAACACCCCGGGUGAAAAGGGAACCAGGUGGGAAUCCUGGACAGACGGUGCUGCUGUGAGCUCCCGGAAUCUGUAUCCCGCACUUGACCACUGCGCUUCAUCCUCACGAGGCAUGGGAAGGUCAAGUGGCAACAAUGGGGUAGGGGGCGAGUCAGAAGACCUGCCAAGUCG
This 186-nucleotide non-coding RNA is filed under the name bovine gut metagenome. The record is from RNAcentral.